GGGGCWKKGGSGSUGCUAUACAUGCAGUCGAGCGAACGGACGAGAAGCUUGCUUCUCUGAUGUUAGCGGCGGACGGGUGAGUAACACGUGGAUAACCUACCUAUAAGACUGGGAUAACUUCGGGAAACCGGAGCUAAUACCGGAURAUAUUUUGAACCGCAUGGUUCAAAAGUGAAAGACGGUCUUGCUGUCACUUAUAGAUGGAUCCGCGCUGCAUUAGCUAGUUGGUAAGGUAACGGCUUACCAAGGCAACGAUGCAUAGCCGACCUGAGAGGGUGAUCGGCCACACUGGAACUGAGACACGGUCCAGACUCCUACGGGAGGCAGCAGUAGGGAAUCUUCCGCAAUGGGCGAAAGCCUGACGGAGCAACGCCGCGUGAGUGAUGAAGGUCUUCGGAUCGUAAAACUCUGUUAUUAGGGAAGAACAUAUGUGUAAGUAACUGUGCACAUCUUGACGGUACCUAAUCAGAAAGCCACGGCUAACUACGUGCCAGCAGWGMSGGGKUWAWWMC
This 512-nucleotide ribosomal RNA is filed under the name Staphylococcus aureus. Its description in RNAcentral is "partial 16S ribosomal RNA". It matches the Rfam family "Bacterial small subunit ribosomal RNA", at positions 39 to 526 of the family's 1533-position model. Lineage: Bacteria; Bacillati; Bacillota; Bacilli; Caryophanales; Staphylococcaceae. The record is from RNAcentral.